AACGAACGCUGGCGGCAGGCCUAACACAUGCAAGUCGAGCGGGCGUAGCAAUACGUUUGUAAAGCGGCGAACGGGUGAGGAAUACAUGGGUAACCUACCCUCGAGUGGGGAAUAACUAGCCGAAAGGUUAGCUAAUACCGCGUACGCUCCUUGGACUUCGGUUCAGGGAGGAAAGCGAUACCGUGGGUAUCGCGCUCUUGGAUGGGCUCAUGUCCUAUCAGCUUGUUGGUGAGGUAACGGCNCACCAAGGCUUCGACGGGUAGCUGGUCUGAGAGGACGAUCAGCCACACUGGCACUGCGACACGGGCCAGACUCCUACGGGAGCAGCAGUAAGGAUAUUGCGCAAUGGGCGAAAGCCUGACGCAGCGACGCCGCGUGGGGGAUGAAGGU
This 390-nucleotide ribosomal RNA is filed under the name uncultured bacterium. Its description in RNAcentral is "bacterial SSU rRNA". It matches the Rfam family "Bacterial small subunit ribosomal RNA", at positions 29 to 415 of the family's 1533-position model. The record is from RNAcentral.